This 156-nucleotide ribosomal RNA is filed under the name uncultured bacterium. Its description in RNAcentral is "partial 16S ribosomal RNA". It matches the Rfam family "Bacterial small subunit ribosomal RNA", at positions 358 to 507 of the family's 1533-position model. The record is from RNAcentral.
AGAAUCUUUCACRMUGGGGGCAACCCUGAUGGAGCGACGCCGCGUGGAGGAUAAGGUCUUCGGAUUGUAAACUCCUGUCAUGUGUGAACAAGGUUGCAGAGUUAAUAGCUAUGCAAAUAGAUGGUAACACAAGAGGAAGAGACGGCUAACUCUGUG